Molecule: long non-coding RNA, 298 nt
Organism: Maniola jurtina (meadow brown)
Lineage: Eukaryota; Metazoa; Arthropoda; Insecta; Lepidoptera; Nymphalidae
Exons: 2
Source: RefSeq, a predicted model, not a curated record
AAUAGACAUUAUAGAAUGGCAGUGUUAUAAACUAGACCACACUACCCUUAAUUGGGAAGUUUUCGCCUUCUUUUAACUUUUGUAUCUCACCCUUACUGUACCACAUAUUUAGGGAAAGGUGCCUAAGUAACGAUCUGUUAUUAGUUAAGUUUAGCGUUUAAUGGGGAAGCUGUGUAAAUUCGCGUCGGGAGUUUAAUUUAUCUCAAAUUGUAAUGAUUUAUAUGACAACGGAUAUAUGCAUAAUAAUGAAGUUGUAAAUAAUUUUGUAUGAAAGAAAUUACAUUAUUAUCAUUAUUUA